UAAGACGAAGGUGGCUAGCGUUAUUCGGUAUUACUGGGCUUAAAGCGUGUGUAGGCGGAAAAGUAAGCGUUCUGUGAAAGCCCCCGGCUUAACCGGGGAACUGCGCAACGAACUGCUUUUCUUGAGGCAAGUAGGGGUGCAUGGAACUCUUGGUGGAGCGGUGGAAUGCGUAGAUAUCAAGAGGAACGCCGGUGGAGAAAUCGGUGCACUGGGCUUGUCCUGACGCUGAGACACGAAAGCGUGGGGAGCAAACGGGAUUAGAUGCCCCGGUAGUCCACGCCGUAAACGAUGCCUACUAGGUUGUGGAGGUUCUGACACCUGCACGGCCGAAGCAAAAGUGUUAAGUAGGCCGCCUGGGGAGUACGGUCGCAAGGCUA
This 377-nucleotide ribosomal RNA is filed under the name uncultured Planctomycetota bacterium. Its description in RNAcentral is "bacterial SSU rRNA". It matches the Rfam family "Bacterial small subunit ribosomal RNA", at positions 521 to 896 of the family's 1533-position model. Lineage: Bacteria; Pseudomonadati; Planctomycetota. The record is from RNAcentral.